Molecule: non-coding RNA, 1635 nt
Organism: Camelina sativa (false flax)
Lineage: Eukaryota; Viridiplantae; Streptophyta; Magnoliopsida; Brassicales; Brassicaceae
Source: RefSeq, a predicted model, not a curated record
UUUCGGUCCAUUAACAAGAGAAUCGAUUCUCUGAGAAGGAAUUGAGCAAUGCUACGUGACGUGUUCUGAUACGUUUAUAUGUAAAUAUAAAACUUUUUUUUUUUGUUUUUUCUAUUUUCUUCCUUCUUUCUUUCCCGAUCUUCUCUCUUUGCUCUCUCGAUCUAAAAAGGCGAAUUGAUGGUCUAGAAAAAUCAAUCGAUUCGACUGGAGGAUUGAUGGUCAGCGGAGGAUAAGAUUCUCAUACCAAAGCCCUCGUCUUCGUCUUCACCGCAGCAACCCACGACGGAGACGAAACAAGUCGACGGAGAUGAUUCCGACGGAUUCGAGACUGCCAGCGAACGUGAAAUCAGCGAUGAAGAUGGUACUAAAAACGACGCCGUCACUAGUCAGGAGGAGAAACGACAGCACUAGGAGAAGAAGAAAGAACAGAUUUUGUGGAGGAGGAUGCACUACGAUUGAUCUGUGAUGGCUUUCAUUCAUCCUUGUCAAGCGGGUCUGAUGAUGCAGGUCUAGUUCUUUGGAUAUUUUUCCCUUUUCCCCUGUCAAGAAACAUUCGUUGAGUUGGUUUUCUAGACAGCUAAUAGGUUGUUAAUCAAGUCUUUCGAUGAUGUGUAGUUCUUUGGUGAAUUGAAAUAUUGAAUAAAGGAGUGUACUAAUGUGAAUCCUAACAAAUGGUUCUGAAUUGUUGUUGAGUGGCAUGUCUUACUGAUAAGAAUCUGUCUCAUCUUUUGAUUAUGUAAUACAUGCCACAUUAUAACUUAAAAUCUGCUGAGCAUUGGUGUGAAGAGCAUUGGAGUUAGUUUUCUUCUGGUUUCAGUUUGAAUAGUAGAUUCAUUUCAACUUGUGUCUAAUUUUUUUUAUUUGAGAUGCAAUUAGUAGAAGAUCACGGUUUGAUGUUGUGUUGGCUUGUGGGUUUUCAGAUUUCGUGUUUAUGAAUCAUAGUUUGAAUGUAAAAAAAGAUGCUUGCUUUAUAUAUGGGCUAACUAGAUUAUGUGAGGUUGGUCACUGCCUUAUGGAACGAAUCGAGUUUUGCCAUUAGGAUCCACAAAGUUUGUAAUUUGUAAUUCUUAUGCUGAUCUUAUUACUCAAUCUCACUAAGAUUGUUUUGUGGCUAAUGUGGUUAAAGACAGUGAUUGAUUCUGAUUUUCCUGGUAACUUAGUUCUUGUCUGUUUCAGCUUUUGGAUUCAAGAAAUUGGUUUCGGUGCAAUGGAUUUUGACAACAUUGUUUUGGAGCAAGGAGAUUCAGAUCACCAGGAUCAGGAGUAGGAUUAGUUGCUCCUUCUCCUCAGUAGCAAUCAAGCACAAGCUCAAGCGUAAGCUCAACAUCUCAAGACAUCGAACAGAGUGUUAAGCUCAACAUCUCGUUUUUGACUAGGCUCCUCAUACAACUACUGACCAAGAACAUACAACAAGCUAUUUUGGAUUCAGUGGAAUCCCAUGAAGAAAAAAAACAUCAACGGUCUUGUAUAAGAGUUGCAGAUUCUGUGUUAUGGCAUGUUGCCUCAAGUACUCUUUGUAAAUUGAAAAUUCAAUGUUACAACAAUGUUUAAGUGAAUCAUUGUUAAUCUUUUCAUAUCCACAAUUGUGAAUCAUUGUGAAUCAUUAAAACAUUGUUUAAAAGAUUGAGCAACCUU